RNAcentral lists this ribosomal RNA (253 nucleotides) under uncultured bacterium. RNAcentral describes it as "partial 16S ribosomal RNA". It matches the Rfam family "Bacterial small subunit ribosomal RNA", at positions 524 to 776 of the family's 1533-position model. The record is from RNAcentral.
UACGUAGGGUGCAAGCGUUGUCCGGAAUUAUUGGGCGUAGAGAGCUCGUAGGCGGUUUGUCGCGUCGAAUGUGAAAACCCGGGGCUCAACCCCGGGCCUGCAUUCGAUACGGGCAGACUAGAGUUCGGUAGGGGAGUCUGGAAUUCCUGGUGUAGCGGUGAAAUGCGCAGAUAUCAGGAGGAACACCGGUGGCGAAGGCGGGACUCUGGGCCGAUACUGACGCUGAGGAGCGAAAGCGUGGGGAGCAAACAGG